Molecule: ribosomal RNA, 253 nt
Filed under: uncultured bacterium
Lineage: Bacteria
Description: partial 16S ribosomal RNA
Rfam family: Bacterial small subunit ribosomal RNA
Source: RNAcentral
UACGGGGGGGGCAAGCGUUGUUCGGAAUUACUGGGCGUAAAGGGCUCGUAGGCGGCCAACUAAGUCAGACGUGAAAUCCCUCGGCUUAACCGGGGAACUGCCUCUGAUACUGGAUGGCUUGAGAUUGGGAGAGGGAUGCGGAAUUCCAGGUGUAGCGGUGAGAUGCGUAGAUAUCUGGAGGAACACCGGUGGCGAAGGCGGCAUCCUGGACCAACACUGACGCUGAGGAGCGAAAGCCAGGGGAGCAAACGGG